GGUGGAGCGAUUUGUCUGGUUAAUUCCGAUAACGAACGAGACUCUAGCCUGCUAAAUAGUUCGCCGAUUGUCUAAUCUGUCGGCGUUAACUUCUUAGAGGGACAAGUGGCGUUUAGUCACACGAGAUUGAGCAAUAACAGGUCUGUGAUGCCCUUAGAUGUCCGGGGCUGCACGCGCGCUACACUGGCAAAAUCAACGUGCUUGUCCUUCCCCGAAAGGGGCGGGUAAACCAUUGAAAAUUUGCCGUGAUUGGGAUCGGAAAUUGCAAUUAUUUUCCGUGAACGAGGAAUUCCAAGUAAGUGCGAGUCAUCAGCUCGCGUUGAAUACGUCCCUGCCCUUUGUAC
RNAcentral lists this ribosomal RNA (344 nucleotides) under Nematoda environmental sample. RNAcentral's name for it is "bacterial SSU rRNA". It matches the Rfam family "Eukaryotic small subunit ribosomal RNA", at positions 1300 to 1665 of the family's 1831-position model. The record is from RNAcentral. Lineage: Eukaryota; Metazoa; Nematoda.